This 59-nucleotide transfer RNA is filed under the name Loxodonta africana (African savanna elephant). It matches the Rfam family "tRNA". Rfam says of the family: Transfer RNA (tRNA) molecules are approximately 80 nucleotides in length. Their secondary structure includes four short double-helical elements and three loops (D, anti-codon, and T loops). Lineage: Eukaryota; Metazoa; Chordata; Mammalia; Proboscidea; Elephantidae. The record is from Rfam by way of RNAcentral.
AGUGGUUAAGCGUUUGGCUGCUAACCAAAAGGUUGGCAGUUCAAAUCUACCAGCCACUC